GGUGACGCGGAGGGAUCAUUACCGAGUUUACAACUCCCAAACCCCUGUGAACAUACCUUAAUGUUGCCUCGGCGGAUCAGCCCGCGCCCCGUAAAACGGGACGGCCCGCCAGAGGACCCAAACUCUAAUGUUUCUUAUUGUAACUUCUGAGUAAAACAAACAAAUAAAUCAAAACUUUCAACAACGGAUCUCUUGGUUCUGGCAUCGAUGAAGAACGCAGCAAAAUGCGAUAAGUAAUGUGAAUUGCAGAAUUCAGUGAAUCAUCGAAUCUUUGAACGCACAUUGCGCCCGCUGGUAUUCCGGCGGGCAUGCCUGUUCGAGCGUCAUUUCAACCCUCAAGCCCCCGGGUUUGGUGUUGGGGAUCGGCUCUGCCCUUCUGGGCGGUGCCGCCCCCGAAAUACAUUGGCGGUCUCGCUGCAGCCUCCAUUGCGUAGUAGCUAACACCUCGCAACUGGAACGCGGCGCGGCCAUGCCGUAAAACCCCAACUUCUGAAUGUUGACCUCGGAUCAGGUAGGAAUACCCGCUGAACUUAAGCAUAUCAAUAAGCGGAGGAA
This 555-nucleotide ribosomal RNA is filed under the name Hypocreales sp. W6i83H. RNAcentral describes it as "eukaryotic LSU rRNA". The stretch from base 173 to 326 matches the Rfam family "5.8S ribosomal RNA". The record is from RNAcentral. Lineage: Eukaryota; Fungi; Ascomycota; Sordariomycetes; Hypocreales.